Molecule: transfer RNA, 17 nt
Filed under: Rana johnsi (John's groove-toed frog)
Lineage: Eukaryota; Metazoa; Chordata; Amphibia; Anura; Ranidae
Description: partial tRNA-Trp
Source: RNAcentral
AAACUUAGGCUAACGCA